RNAcentral lists this ribosomal RNA (253 nucleotides) under uncultured bacterium. Its description in RNAcentral is "partial 16S ribosomal RNA". It matches the Rfam family "Bacterial small subunit ribosomal RNA", at positions 524 to 776 of the family's 1533-position model. The record is from RNAcentral.
UACGGGGGGUGCAAGCGUUGCUCGGAAUCACUGGGCGUAAAGCGUCCGCAGGCGGCUUGGUAAGUCGGGUGUGAAAGCCCGGGGCUCAACCCCGGAACUGCAUUCGAAACUGCCUGGCUUGAGUACGGGAGAGGGUCGUGGAAUUCCUGGUGUAGAGGUGAAAUUCGUAGAUAUCAGGAGGAACACCGGUGGCGAAAGCGGCGACCUGGCCCGAUACUGACGCUCAUGGACGAAAGCGUGGGGAGCAAACAGG